RNAcentral lists this long non-coding RNA (1190 nucleotides) under Pandoravirus quercus. RNAcentral describes it as "hypothetical ncRNA". The record is from RNAcentral.
ACGACGAGCAGUCAGAAUCGUCGUCCUUCUUCUUGUGGUCCUUCUUGUGGUGACGCUUCUGGUGCGACUUGGCGUGGUGCUUCUUCACCUUCUUGUCGUCGCAGUCGUCGUCCUUCUUGUGGUGCUUCUUCUUGUUGUGCGAGGCGCGCUUCUUGUCGUCCUUGUCGUCCUUGCACUCGCGGUGGUCGUCCUUGGCGUGACGCACGUGCUUGUCGGCGUGCGAGGCGUCCGACUUGGAAUAGUGGUGGUCCUUGGCCUUGCACGAGGCGCGCUUGGCGUCGCGGUGGUCGCGCUUCUUGUGGGCCUCGCGAUCGCGGUGCUUCUUGUCGUGCUUCUUGAGGUGCAGGUCCUUCUUGGACUUGUCGCGCUUGUGGUCCUUCUUGGCACACUCGCGCUUGUCCUUGCGGUAGCACCGCUCGUCCUCCGAGUUGUGGUCGUCCUCGCACCACUUCUUCUCGUAGAACUUGCGCACGUAGAACUUCUUGCGCUUGUGGUGGUUCUUGUCGCGGCGCUUGACGUCCUUCUCGUCCUUCUUGGCGCACUCGCGGCGGUCCUUGUCGUGGUGACGGUCGCACUCGGCCUUCUUGCGGUACUCGUCGUCCUUGCGGUACUCGUCCUCGCACUUUUUGCUGUCGCGCUUCUUCUCGUCCUUGCAGGCGUCGCGCUUCUUCAGGUGCUUGGACUCGCUCUCCGAGUGGGAGUCGGACGAGCACUUGUCAUACUUGUGGUAGGACUUGUCGUGCUUGUCCUUCUUCCGGUGGCGCUUGUGCUGGUCCUUGCACGAGCGGCUGCUCUCCGAGCAGUCCUUGUCCUCGUGCCGGCGGUGCUUCUUGUCGACGUGGAGGUCCGACGAGCACGAGUCCGACGACGACGAACACGACUCCUUGUCGUGCUUCUUGUUGUGCUUGCGAUGAUGGCGCGUCAUGGCGGGGGGAUGAUGCUGCUUUUUUGGUUUACUGAUGGAGCCGGGGGAUUGUUGGCGUGCGCGAACGGACGGAUGCACAGCGCGCCAAGGACACGCACACACAGACACACGCGCGUACGUGGAUCGUUGAGCAACAACAAGCACACCUAGACACACACACGCAGAGGGAGACAAAAGGGUGUUGGUGGCGGCGGCGGGCACGUACGGUGACAGAGGAGGCCGGGCUGGACGACGGCGACAACGAUGCGGUGGACGGACGGAUGGG